This 407-nucleotide ribosomal RNA is filed under the name uncultured bacterium. RNAcentral's name for it is "partial 16S ribosomal RNA". It matches the Rfam family "Bacterial small subunit ribosomal RNA", at positions 30 to 526 of the family's 1533-position model. The record is from RNAcentral.
AUUGAACGCUGGCGGCAGGCCUAACACAUGCAAGUCGAGCGGAGCGGCGGACGGGUGAGAAAUGCCUAGGAAUCUGCCUGGUAGUGGGGGAUAACACCCGGAAAAGGGCGCUAAUACCGCAUACGAUCAGCGGAGCCAAAGUCGGAUUAGCUAGUUGGUGGGGUAAAGGCCCACCAAGGCGACGAUCCGGAACUGGUCUGAGAGGAUGAUCAGUCACACUGUAACGUAGACACGGUCCAGAAUCCUACGGGAGGCAGCAGUGGGAAAUAUUGGACAAUGGGCGAAAGCCGGAUCCGGCCAUGCCGCGUGUGUGAAGAAGGUCUUCGGAUUGUAAAGCACUUUAAGUUGGGCGGCGUUACCAACAGAAUAAGCACCGGCUAACUUCGUGCCAGCCGCCGCGGUAAUUC